GAUGAACGCUGGCGGCGUGCCUAAUACAUGCAAGUCGAGCGAACAGAUGAGGAGCUUGCUCCUCUGACGUUAGCGGCGGACGGGUGAGUAACACGUGGAUAACCUACCUAUAAGACUGGGAUAACUUCGGGAAACCGGAGCUAAUACCGGAUAAUAUAUUGAACCGCAUGGUUCAAUAGUGAAAGACGGUUUUGCUGUCACUUAUAGAUGGAUCCCCGCCGCAUUAGCUAGUUGGUAAGGUAACGGCUUACCAAGGCAACGAUGCGUAGCCGACCUGAGAGGGUGAUCGGCCACACUGGAACUGAGACACGGUCCAGACUCCUACGGGAGGCAGCAGUAGGGAAUCUUCCGCAAUGGGCGAAAGCCUAACGUAGCAACGCCGCGUGAGUGAUGAAGGUCUUCGGAUAGUAAAACUCUGUUAUUAGGGAAGAACAAAUGUGUAAGUAACUAUGCACGGCUUGACGGUACCGAAUCAGAAAGCCACGGCUAACUACGUG
This 497-nucleotide ribosomal RNA is filed under the name uncultured bacterium. Its description in RNAcentral is "partial 16S ribosomal RNA". It matches the Rfam family "Bacterial small subunit ribosomal RNA", at positions 28 to 507 of the family's 1533-position model. The record is from RNAcentral.